Molecule: ribosomal RNA, 978 nt
Filed under: human gut metagenome
Description: bacterial LSU rRNA
Rfam family: Bacterial large subunit ribosomal RNA
Source: RNAcentral
CCUAAGGUAGCGAAAUUCCUUGUCGGGUAAGUUCCGACCCGCACGAAUGGUGUAACGAUCUGGGCACUGUCUCAACUACCCACCCGGCGAAAUUGUAGUACCGGUGAAGAUGCCGGUUACCUGCGGCAAGACGGAAAGACCCCAUGGAGCUUUACUGUAGCCUGAUAUUGGGUUUCGGAAAUCUAUGUACAGGAUAGGCGGGAGACUGGGAAACAUGAGCGUCAGCUUGUGUGGAGUCGAUGUUGGGAUACCGCCCUUAGGUUUCUGGAAUUCUAACCUGCGGCCGUGAAACCGGUCGGGGGACAUUGUCAGGUGGGCAGUUUGACUGGGGCGGUCGCCUCCGAAAAGGUAACGGAGGCGCUCAAAGGUUAGCUCAGCACGGACGGAAACCGUGCCUCUGAGUGUAAACGCAAAAGCUAGCCUAACUGCGAGGGUGACGGCCCGAGCAGUAACGAAAGUUGGAGUUAGUGAUCCGGCGGUAUGUGAAUGGAAAUGCCGUCGCUCAACGGAUAAAAGCUACCCUGGGGAUAACAGGCUGAUCUCCCCCAAGAGUCCACAUCGACGGGGAGGUUUGGCACCUCGAUGUCGGCUCAUCACAUCCUGGGGCUGUAUUCGGUCCCAAGGGUUCGGCUGUUCGCCGAUUAAAGUGGUACGCGAGCUGGGUUCAGAACGUCGCGAGACAGUUCGGUCCCUAUCUGUCGUGGGCGCAGGAUAUUUGAGGAGCUCUGUCCUUAGUACGAGAGGACCGGGAUGGACGUACCUCUGGUGCACCAGUUGUCAUGCCAAUGGCACGGCUGGGCAGUUAUGUACGGAACGGAUAAACGCUGAAAGCAUCUAAGCGUGAAGCCGACUCCAAGAUUAGAUAUCCCAUCGUAUAACGAGUAAGACCCCUUGAAGACUACGAGGUUGAUAGGCUGCGUGUGUAAGUGCCGUGAGGCAUUCAGCUUGGCAGUACUAAUAGGUCGAGGGCUUGACCAC